ACCUUUGUGGUGUAGUGGUCAGCACGCUCGAUUCGUAUUUGAGAGGUCCGUGGUUCGAGUCCCGGCGAGGGCC
This 73-nucleotide transfer RNA is filed under the name Stegodyphus mimosarum. It matches the Rfam family "tRNA". Rfam says of the family: Transfer RNA (tRNA) molecules are approximately 80 nucleotides in length. Lineage: Eukaryota; Metazoa; Arthropoda; Arachnida; Araneae; Eresidae. The record is from Rfam by way of RNAcentral.